This is a non-coding RNA of Neolamprologus brichardi, 181 nucleotides long. Lineage: Eukaryota; Metazoa; Chordata; Actinopteri; Cichliformes; Cichlidae. The record is from RefSeq and is a predicted model, not a curated record.
GGCAAGAUGCCCAUCAGCACUCAAGUUCUUUUCAUAAAGUGGGUAUUGACUGUAUUUGAUAUGAUUGAUGCAAAGGACCAGCUACGAGCAAUUUAUGGCUUCAUCUUCAACUUUGUCACAGAUGAAAAUCUGUGUCCUUUCAUCUGCCAUCUCUUGUACCUUUUGACCCGAAAGGAAAGCG